UACGUAGGGUGCAAGCGUUGUCCGGAAUUAUUGGGCGUAAAGGGCUCGUAGGCGGUCCGUCGCGUCGGGAGUGAAAACUCAGGGCUCAACCCUGAGCGUGCUUCCGAUACGGGCGGACUAGAGGUAUGCAGGGGAGAACGGAAUUCCUGGUGUAGCGGUGGAAUGCGCAGAUAUCAGGAGGAACACCGGUGGCGAAGGCGGUUCUCUGGGCAUUACCUGACGCUGAGGAGCGAAAGCAUGGGGAGCGAACAGG
This 253-nucleotide ribosomal RNA is filed under the name uncultured bacterium. RNAcentral's name for it is "partial 16S ribosomal RNA". It matches the Rfam family "Bacterial small subunit ribosomal RNA", at positions 524 to 776 of the family's 1533-position model. The record is from RNAcentral.